GGGGAGAGGAGAAAAAUCCAAUUUCGGAAAGAGAACAUAAGGGAACAAAGAAAAAAGGAGUGGGACAAACAGGCACGUGACAGAUGAAUGAACAACUUUCUAUGCAAGCUUUUUAUGGUGCAAUGGAGGACCUUUAAGACAGCUUUAGAAGGGUGGUGAUCAAUUUCUUGGUUACAUUUCCUUUCCAAUUCUUAUUGGACUUUUUUGUUUUCAUUUUAUUUUCUUCGCUUUUAUUUCUUUAGUUUUGGUAUAUUGUUUUAUUAUUGAUGGUUUGUUGUACUCAGUUUUUGAU
RNAcentral lists this long non-coding RNA (292 nucleotides) under Vigna radiata. RNAcentral describes it as "long non-coding RNA (VRAD_LNC001007)". Lineage: Eukaryota; Viridiplantae; Streptophyta; Magnoliopsida; Fabales; Fabaceae. The record is from RNAcentral.